Molecule: ribosomal RNA, 590 nt
Filed under: uncultured bacterium
Lineage: Bacteria
Description: partial 16S ribosomal RNA
Rfam family: Bacterial small subunit ribosomal RNA
Source: RNAcentral
UGGGGAAUUUUGGACAAUGGGCGAAAGCCUGAUCCAGCAAUGCCGCGUGUGUGAAGAAGGCCUUCGGGUUGUAAAGCACUUUUGUCCGGAAAGAAAUCCUUGGCUCUAAUACAGUCGGGGGAUGACGGUACCGGAAGAAUAAGCACCGGCUAACUACGUGCCAGCAGCCGCGGUAAUACGUAGGGUGCAAGCGUUAAUCGGAAUUACUGGGCGUAAAGCGUGCGCAGGCGGUUUGCUAAGACCGAUGUGAAAAUCCCCGGGCUCAACCUGGGAACUGCAUUGGUGACUGGCAGGCUAGAGUAUGGCAGAGGGGGGUAGAAUUCCACGUGUAGCAGUGAAAAUGCGUAGAGAUGUGGAGGAAUACCGAUGGCGAAGGCAGCCCCCUGGGCCAAUACUGACGCUCAUGCACGAAAAGCGUGGGGAGCAAAACAGGAUUAGAUACCCUGGUAGUCCACGCCCUAAAACGAUGUCAACUAGUUGUUGGGGAUUCAUUUCCUUAGUAACGUAGCUAACGCGUGAAGUUGACCGCCUGGGGAGUACGGUCGCAAGAUUAAAAACUCAAAUGAAUUGACGGGGUCAUAGCUGUUUCC